This 21-nucleotide non-coding RNA is filed under the name Caenorhabditis elegans. Lineage: Eukaryota; Metazoa; Nematoda; Chromadorea; Rhabditida; Rhabditidae. The record is from RNAcentral.
UACGCUUGGUAAACUUUGAGU